Molecule: long non-coding RNA, 189 nt
Filed under: Fukomys damarensis (Damara mole-rat)
Lineage: Eukaryota; Metazoa; Chordata; Mammalia; Rodentia; Bathyergidae
Description: lncRNA (ENSFDAG00000027497.1)
Source: RNAcentral
CAAGAUGAUAGCUUAAGGGUCCACAGAGUGCAAAAAGAGAAACCCAUAGGCCUCCUUAAGGGUUCCUUCUAGGACUUAUACAAGGAAACAGAUUUGAUUGGUCAGAUCAGGGCAGCAGCACCUGUGUAAGACAAAAGACUUUUUUGUUUCAUCUAACUUUAAAUUUGGAAUCCUAAUGUAAACAGCAAU